CAGCAGCCGCGGUAGUACGAAGGGUGCAAGCGUUAAUCGGAAUUACUGGGCGUAAAGCGUGCGUAGGCGGUGAGUUAAGUCUGCUGUGAAAUCCCCGGGCUCAACCUGGGAAUGGCAGUGAAUACUGGCUCGCUAGAGUGUGUCAGAGGAUGGUGGAAUUCCCGGUGUAGCGGUGAAAUGCGUAGAGAUCGGGAGGAACAUCAGUGGCGAAGGCGGCCAUCUGGGACAACACUGACGCUGAGGCACGAAAGCGUGGGGAGCAAACAGGAUUAGAUACCCGCGUAGUCCCUGUCUCUUAUAC
This 301-nucleotide ribosomal RNA is filed under the name uncultured bacterium. Its description in RNAcentral is "partial 16S ribosomal RNA". It matches the Rfam family "Bacterial small subunit ribosomal RNA", at positions 509 to 807 of the family's 1533-position model. The record is from RNAcentral.